GAGUGAAGUGGGAAAAGCUCAACUUUGUAAUCUGGCAGCUUCGCUGUCCGAGUUGUAGUCUCGAGAAGUGUUUUCCGCGCUGGAUCGUGUAUGAGUCUGUUGGAAUACAGCGUCAUAGAGGGUGAGAACCCCGUUCGUGACACGACUACCAGUGCUUUGUGAUACAUUUUCGAUGAGUCGAGUUGUUUGGGAAUGCAGCUCAAAUUGGGUGGUAAAUUCCAUCUAAAGCUAAAUAUUGGCGAGAGACCGAUAGCAAACAAGUACCGUGAGGGAAAGAUGAAAAGCACUUUGGAAAGAGAGUUAACAGUACGUGAAAUUGUUGAAAGGGAAACGUUUGAAGUCAGACGUGCGUUGUGCGAUUCAGCUCCGGUUCGCCGGAGUGUAUUUCGUACUAUUGCAGGCCAGCAUCGGUUUGGCGAGCCGGAUAAAGGUUAGAGAAAGGUAGCGGUCCAGGCCGUGUUAUAGUCUUUAACUGAAUACGGAUUGCUAGACCGAGGGACGCAGCGCGCCGCAAGGCAAAGCUUUCGGGCUUUUCGCGCUUAGGAUGCUGGUGAAAUGGCUUUAAAUGACCCGUCUUGAAACACGGACCAAGGAGUCUAACAUGCUUGCGAGUGUUUGGGUGUCAAACCCAUACGCGUAAUGAAAGUGAAUGGAGGUGGGAUCCUUUACCGGAGCACCAUCGACCGAUCCGGAUUUUUAAUGAUGGAUUUGAGUAAGAGCACGUAUGUUGGGACCCGAAAGAUGGUGAACUAUGCCUGAAUAGGGUGAAGCCAGAGGAAACUCUGGUGGAGGCUCGUAGCGGUUCUGACGUGCAAAUCGAUCGUCAAAUUUGGGUAUAGGGGCGAAAGACUAAUCGAACUAUCUAGUAGCUCGCUGCUGCGAGUCUCCC
This 889-nucleotide ribosomal RNA is filed under the name Symmetrospora marina. RNAcentral's name for it is "partial large subunit ribosomal RNA". It matches the Rfam family "Eukaryotic large subunit ribosomal RNA", at positions 91 to 972 of the family's 3401-position model. Lineage: Eukaryota; Fungi; Basidiomycota; Cystobasidiomycetes; Symmetrosporaceae. The record is from RNAcentral.